Molecule: long non-coding RNA, 652 nt
Filed under: Phoenix dactylifera (date palm)
Lineage: Eukaryota; Viridiplantae; Streptophyta; Magnoliopsida; Arecales; Arecaceae
Description: long non-coding RNA (PDAC_LNC017985)
Source: RNAcentral
UGUUUCUUUUCUUCUUCCCGAAGUUUCCUCCCCUCCUCCUCUCUUUCCUUCCUUCUCUCCCGAUCCCGCUUUUCCUUCCCCCUUUCUUCUCCCGUGAAGGGAGGAAAGCGAGCUCGGGAGAGGUCGGGCCACGGCCGGCGGCGCCUGCCGCCGGGCUCGCGGCGUCCUCGGCCGAAGCUUCUUCUCCCUUCGUCUCUUUCAUCCCGAUCUCCUCCCUUCUUUCUUCUUCUCUUCUUCCUCUCACCUUCCCCCUCUUCUCCCGUGAACACAAGGGGAAGGAAGAUCCCAAGCUGGAGCUUGAGAGGAGGGCGAUGGGGCUCUCGGGAGGGCCAGUCGAGGCCGGCGGCGCCUACGGCGGCCCUCCCUUCUUCCGCGGAGGAGAGACGCGCCGGGAGAGCUAGCGGCGUCGCGGGAUGCCCGCGACUGAGCCCACGGCCGCUCCCCGCGGUGGUCGUGGCGCUCACGGCCGACUGCAACGCCGCGGUGCUCGCGGCCGGGGCCAGCGGCGCCGGCGAUGCUCGCGGCCGCACGCGGUGAGCCCUGUUUCUUCCCCUUCCUUUCUGUCUUUGUUUCUUUCUUUGUUAUCUUGAAUAAAUCAGGAGGAGAGAAGGCAGGGGGCUUACCUAGCUUUUGGAAGAAGCCACGAGCAUCU